GGGGUUUCAUACACAAAGGAGCUUAGUUCGUGAUCUGGCAGCCCGAGGUUGACUGCACACAUGCCCGUAGAGGGACACCCUCGGAGAGCUGCAGUUGGAGCUCAAGAGUAAUUUUGGAUAAAAGUGUUUUUCUUGCCUGUUUUGUCACAAAGCAGUUUCAAACCUUCUGUGGAAACAUACAUCUGAGUGUUUCCAUGUCCACACCUCCCCCCUGGUUUAUUAUUAAUAUCUCAAGCAUAAUGUAGUUUUUGUUGCUUCUAGAACUGUAUAUAAAUGCAAUUGUUUCUGUAUUGUAUUGCUCUGAAUUUUCAAGUACAUUUAAUCUGAUCUGGUUUGUAUCAGGUUUCCCAGUAGAUUUUAAGACUUUAAAACUUUUAAUGUCUUCUGUAAAUAUGUUUUAUUCCUGUCAGAUGAAACGCUUAUUUUCACAAGAAGCUCUGGUUUUUACUCUGAAGUUACCUUUCAGUGGUUCUUGUCGCACAAGAUUCUUUUUUUUUUUUAAGAAAAAAAAAGAUAAAAUUGAGUGUUAACAUGGGCGAACUUCACAACUCUUGGUUUUAGUGUUAUGCCAAGGACCUGAUCUCAGAAUAUUCACCCAAGACAGCAGUCAUAUAGAAAACAAAAUUGUACUUCGUUUGAGAGGAGAAUUGAAACACAAGAUUCUUUUUUUGCUGCUUGUAAAUCUAAUCACAUCUCUUUGUACAAAAUAAUGGAGCUGCAAAAGCAUUUGUGGGAGACUGGCUUUCUGAAAACUAGUCGCUACAGCAGUUGCUUGAGGUCCAUCACUUCUGCAGGUAUUUUUUUCUGCAUUACUCUGUUCUUUAUACAAAUAAGCUCCCUGGUUUCUGAAGGCUUGUACCUUGAGGCCGGGAAGUAAAGGGGUGCAGGUGGGAACAUGAACCCCAAAGUAUUCUGGGAUAAAACUUAAUUUUCUCUUUUGUAGUCUGUGAAAAUUGGGUUAACUUUGACUCGUGGUUUACUCUGUUCUUAACUAAUGCUUGUUGCUCCUUUCUCAGAACAUUGAGGUAAGAAAUGUUCAGGCCUCUUAAUCUAGAAACUAUCAUUUCUGAAUAAAUGCCUAAAAUACAAAGUCUCUAGCAAGAGCCCCAAAUUCCCUUUUUCUCACUUUCUUAGAAGAAUCCAGAAACUAUAACAUUUUAGAGCAUUAAGUUGAAACAAAUACAAGUUAAACUUACUUGAUGAGUGAGAACUUGACCAUUUGGAAAUAAAAAGUAAUAUAUCUAAAAAA
Molecule: long non-coding RNA, 1249 nt
Filed under: Strigops habroptila (Kakapo)
Lineage: Eukaryota; Metazoa; Chordata; Aves; Psittaciformes; Psittacidae
Description: lncRNA (ENSSHBG00005018172.1)
Source: RNAcentral